AUGAACUCUGGCGGCGUGCCUAAUACAUGCCAGUCGCGCGAACAGACGAGGAGCUUGCUCCUCUGACGUUAGCGGCGGACGGGUGAGUAACACGUGGAUAACCUACCUAUAAGACUGGGAUAACUUCGGGAAACCGGAGCUAAUACCGGAUAAUAUAUUGAACCGCAUGGUUCAAUAGUGAAAGACGGUUUUGCUGUCACUUAUAGAUGGAUCCGCGCCGCAUUAGCUAGUUGGUAAGGUAACGGCUUACCAAGGCAACGAUGCGUAGCCGACCUGAGAGGGUGAUCGGCCACACUGGAACUGAGACACGGUCCAGACUCCUACGGGAGGCAGCAGUAGGGAAUCUUCCGCAAUGGGCGAAAGCCUGACGGAGCAACGCCGCGUGAGUGAUGAAGGUCUUCGGAUCGUAAAACUCUGUUAUUAGGGAAGAACAAAUGUGUAAGUAACUAUGCACGUCUUGACGGUACCUAAUCAGAAAGCCACGGCUAACUACGUG
RNAcentral lists this ribosomal RNA (496 nucleotides) under uncultured bacterium. RNAcentral describes it as "partial 16S ribosomal RNA". It matches the Rfam family "Bacterial small subunit ribosomal RNA", at positions 29 to 507 of the family's 1533-position model. The record is from RNAcentral.